UACGGGAGGCAGCAGUGGGGAAUAUUGCACAAUGGGGGAAACCCUGAUGCAGCGACGCCGCGUGAACGAAGAAGGUAUUCGUAUCGUAAAGUUCUGUCCUAUGGGAAGAUAAUGACAGUACCAUAGAAGAAAGCUCCGGCUAAAUACGUGCCAGCAGCCGCGGUAAU
Molecule: ribosomal RNA, 167 nt
Filed under: uncultured Finegoldia sp.
Lineage: Bacteria; Bacillati; Bacillota; Tissierellia; Tissierellales; Peptoniphilaceae
Description: partial 16S ribosomal RNA
Rfam family: Bacterial small subunit ribosomal RNA
Source: RNAcentral